Molecule: transfer RNA, 73 nt
Filed under: Marmota marmota marmota (Alpine marmot)
Lineage: Eukaryota; Metazoa; Chordata; Mammalia; Rodentia; Sciuridae
Also listed under: 2 other names
Rfam family: tRNA
About the family: Transfer RNA (tRNA) molecules are approximately 80 nucleotides in length. Their secondary structure includes four short double-helical elements and three loops (D, anti-codon, and T loops).
Source: Rfam by way of RNAcentral
GGGGAUAUAGCUCCGUUGGUAAAGUGCUUGCCUCCUACGUACAAAGCCCUGGGUUCGACCCCCAGCAUCACCA